RNAcentral lists this transfer RNA (72 nucleotides) under Camelus bactrianus (Bactrian camel). It matches the Rfam family "tRNA". From Rfam's summary of the family: Transfer RNA (tRNA) molecules are approximately 80 nucleotides in length. Their secondary structure includes four short double-helical elements and three loops (D, anti-codon, and T loops). Lineage: Eukaryota; Metazoa; Chordata; Mammalia; Artiodactyla; Camelidae. RNAcentral also lists the same sequence under 2 other names. The record is from Rfam by way of RNAcentral.
GAGAGUAUAGCUCAGUGGUAGAGUGCUUGCUUAGCAUGCAGAAGGUCCUGGGUUCAAUCCUCAGUACCUCCU